UACGUAGGGUGCGAGCGUUGUCCGGAAUUAUUGGGCGUAAAGCGCAUGCAGGCGGAUUGUUAAGUCGGGGGUGAAAUCCCGAGGCUCAACCUCGGAACUGCCUUCGAUACUGGCAAUCUUGAGUCCGGGAGAGGUGAGUGGAACUGCGAGUGUAGAGGUGAAAUUCGUAGAUAUUCGCAAGAACACCAGUGGCGAAGGCGGCUCACUGGCCCGGUACUGACGCUGAGGUGCGAAAGCGUGGGGAGCAAACAGG
Molecule: ribosomal RNA, 253 nt
Filed under: uncultured bacterium
Lineage: Bacteria
Description: partial 16S ribosomal RNA
Rfam family: Bacterial small subunit ribosomal RNA
Source: RNAcentral